GGGGAUGAAAGGAUUUCGACAGGGUUGUUGAACCUUGGUCAGCGAGUAGUGGAGUUGCACCACUUAAAAAGUAACAGCUUAAAAUUAACUGACAAAAAUACUUCAGUUGCUCUUGCUGCUUAAUUAGCGGCUUGCGUCCUCAUACAGAGUGCCACGGCUGUAUGCAGGGCGUCGACUUAGUGGCGAACAUGAACGGAAGAGCUUCUCGGCUUCCGUCAGGAAUAAGAGAAUACCGUAGGCCGAAGGCUGUUUGCCGCCGUCGGUUGAGGGGAUAACCCAAAAGACAAACUACACUCGUAGAGCCCUUGGCAAGAUGAUUUUGGACGCGAGUUCAAUUCUCGCCAUCUCCACCA
RNAcentral lists this transfer-messenger RNA (353 nucleotides) under Acutalibacteraceae. RNAcentral's name for it is "Eubacterium_R sp945869905 Standard tmRNA". It matches the Rfam family "transfer-messenger RNA". Rfam says of the family: Bacterial tmRNA, also known as 10Sa RNA or SsrA, is named for its dual tRNA and mRNA-like properties. Its role is to liberate the mRNA from a stalled ribosome. To accomplish this part of the tmRNA is used as a reading frame that ends in a translation stop signal. The record is from RNAcentral. Lineage: Bacteria; Bacillati; Bacillota; Clostridia; Eubacteriales. RNAcentral also lists the same sequence under 1 other name.